AGAGUUUGAUCCUGGCUCAGAUUGAACGCUGGCGGCAUGCUUUACACAUGCAAGUCGAACGGUAACAGGCCGCAAGGUGCUGACGAGUGGCGAACGGGUGAGUAAUGCAUCGGAACGUGCCCAGUCGUGGGGGAUAACGCAGCGAAAGCUGUGCUAAUACCGCAUACGAUCUAUGGAUGAAAGCGGGGGACCGUAAGGCCUCGCGCGAUUGGAGCGGCCGAUGUCAGAUUAGGUAGUUGGUGGGGUAAAGGCCUACCAAGCCAACGAUCUGUAGCUGGUCUGAGAGGACGACCAGCCACACUGGGACUGAGACACGGCCCAGACUCCUACGGGAGGCAGCAGUGGGGAAUUUUGGACAAUGGGCGCAAGCCUGAUCCAGCAAUGCCGCGUGCAGGAAGAAGGCCUUCGGGUUGUAAACUGCUUUUGUACGGAACGAAACGGUCUGGGUUAAUACCCUGGACUAAUGACGGUACCGUAAGAAUAAGCACCGGCUAACUACGUGCCAGCAGCCGCGGUAAUAC
This 521-nucleotide ribosomal RNA is filed under the name uncultured Hydrogenophaga sp. RNAcentral describes it as "bacterial SSU rRNA". It matches the Rfam family "Bacterial small subunit ribosomal RNA", at positions 8 to 526 of the family's 1533-position model. The record is from RNAcentral. Lineage: Bacteria; Pseudomonadati; Pseudomonadota; Betaproteobacteria; Burkholderiales; Comamonadaceae.